AGAGCGAACGCUGGCGGCAGGCCUAACACAUGCAAGUCGAACGGACUCUUCGGAGUUAGUGGCGGACGGGUGAGUAACACGUGGGAACGUGCCUUUAGGUUCGGAAUAGCUCCUGGAAACGGGUGGUAAUGCCGAACGUGCCCUUCGGGGGAAAGAUUUAUCGCCUUUAGAGCGGCCCGCGUCUGAUUAGCUAGUUGGUGAGGUAAAGGCUCACCAAGGCUACGAUCAGUAGCUGGUCUGAGAGGAUGACCAGCCACAUUGGGACUGAGACACGGCCCAAACUCCUACGGGAGGCAGCAGGUGGGGAA
Molecule: ribosomal RNA, 308 nt
Filed under: uncultured soil bacterium
Lineage: Bacteria
Description: bacterial SSU rRNA
Rfam family: Bacterial small subunit ribosomal RNA
Source: RNAcentral